Molecule: long non-coding RNA, 1742 nt
Organism: Papaver somniferum (opium poppy)
Lineage: Eukaryota; Viridiplantae; Streptophyta; Magnoliopsida; Ranunculales; Papaveraceae
Exons: 2
Source: RefSeq, a predicted model, not a curated record
UGAAAUCACUUCCUUAAAAGAUCAUAAUCUUCAGAGGUAAGAAACCAUGAUCAGUCAUCAAUAGUUUUAUAUUGAGCCAGAUAAUUGUCGCAUCAAAGCAAAUUUUAUGUUUCUCAAUGAACAAAUCCUAUAAAGAAAAAAAAAAAAAAAUCACUGUUCACGAUUGAUCACGUUUUUUUACCUCUAAUAUUCAAUCCUUCGAAGUAAAUUGCUGCUUAUAGUACUCUAGUUGCUUUCCUGCUUUUGGUAUGAUCAAUUUUAUGUCUGCAAAAGAGAAGGGGAAAUGUCUGAGAAGACAAUGAAAAUUAACAGAGAAACUCACGGGCGACCCAUCAUGCCCGGAAUAAAGUUGUGAAAAUCUAAGAAAUCUGGGCCAUUAACUUUUUAAAAUCUGACUUUGGAAAUGUUUUCGGACUAAUAAACCUAAUGUUUUCAGACUAAAGAUACAAAUUUUAUACAAUUGAUGAAUGUAAAUUGAGAAUAUGAAAUCAUGAAGGAGAUUUAACUUACGUGUAGAAAAUUCUGCCAAUGCUGGCGGCCUUUACUAAUAGUAGAAGACUAACAUUGUUUGAGAUGCAGGUACAUACGAAGGAUAAAGGAACUAUCAUCCAGCCAUCAUUGAAAAAAAAGAAAAAGAAGAAAAGACGUAAAGUACUGCUACCAGAUGAUGGCAAAGAUCAGUAACUGGAAUCAUCUUAAGAUUGGCACACUGCUACUAGACGAUGGGAAAGAUCCAAUACAGAGAUGUCGCCUCAACCAGAGAGAGAAAUAGACAGAAGCUUACAAUAACAUGUGGGGGCACUAUGCAUAUAGGGGAGAUCAAAGACGUAAUGAAUGCCUCAUUACAAUUCAUUCAGGGAGGUUGUCUGUCUCAAACCCCAUAAUAUUUGGUUAAAUAGUCAAUUGAGAUUGGUUGGGAAAAACCAAACCAGAACCAAAAUGGUUCGAAAAAUUCAGUCAUGUCAGCUGAACAUAUCACCUGCAUCCGUAAAAAAAAGGAUUGUUUACCCAUCUUUGCUUAUUGAAGGGCCUAGAUACAUGUUACAACGCUAUCAUGAUGCAAUAGUCAUGAUGCAAUAUUCACUAUAUUAAUUUCACCAGAUGUGGCCAUAAAUAAUUCCGCCUUUGAGUUUGAAGGGAGGACAAAAAUGGAAAGACCGGCAUGAUACUGUCUCGAAGGUUUCUAAGAUUAAAUUAAUUCAUCUAAGGAAGGACAUUGGGCUAAAUUCGGGGAGGAAGGUGUAAACUAAUUAUCCAACAUAUAAUUAACAUAGAGAAUGCUAUGUGGACGAUGUCUUACUUGAAUAUUUGUUUCAGAUUUUACACCAUUGAGAAUUUCAGAAGCGAGGGCUUCCUCAUGCGCAAAUUUUGUUGUUCAUAUACAUCACAAAGAUGAAUCUAAGUCAACCGAUUACAAAAUCGUACUGGCAAGAAUAGAAAAUAAAGCUGCGGCCCAAAGGAUAUGAUCAUAUGAGGCUGCAGUUCAAAUUGAUAAAGUAGGGCACUGAUGCCUUUCGAAUUUUCCGGUGCGUAUGCACCGGGUAAGGGGCUUGUUAUUUAAAAUAACUGGGCUUUAUACAUACAUUUAUGUGCGUUAAGUGUUUUUAUACUUGUACGUUUUCCAUAGCUGUUGUAACAGUCACACCCGUGUGCCGUGAUUGUACAUAGCUUAAUCUGAAUUUUCUAUUCUACCACUCAAAUUGAAAAAAUAAUGCGUUUUUGCGUUUUAGCUGCAACUAUCA